RNAcentral lists this ribosomal RNA (253 nucleotides) under uncultured bacterium. RNAcentral describes it as "partial 16S ribosomal RNA". It matches the Rfam family "Bacterial small subunit ribosomal RNA", at positions 524 to 776 of the family's 1533-position model. The record is from RNAcentral.
UACAGAGGUCUCAAGCGUUGUUCGGAUUCAUUGGGCGUAAAGGGUGCGUAGGCGGCGGGGUAAGUCGGGUGUGAAAUCUCAGGGCUCAACCCUGAAACUGCACUCGAUACUGCUCUGCUUGAGGACUGGAGAGGAGACUGGAAUUCACGGUGUAGCAGUGAAAUGCGUAGAUAUCGUGAGGAAGACCAGUGGCGAAGGCGGGUCUCUGGGCAAUUCCUGACGCUGAGGCGCGAAAGCGUGGGGAGCAAACGGG